Molecule: long non-coding RNA, 1553 nt
Organism: Daphnia carinata
Lineage: Eukaryota; Metazoa; Arthropoda; Branchiopoda; Diplostraca; Daphniidae
Exons: 8
Source: RefSeq, a predicted model, not a curated record
AUGGUUGCUGAUGUAGAGUUUUGUAACGGUGGACCCCACAGUCUAUGACAGAAACAAGUAGGACAGAAAAUUCCAUCUUCAUCACUAACAAAAGAAAAAGGGAGGUUUGAAUUUUAAGAUUAGGUUACAAACAAAACAACAAUAAAACCAUUUGCUGAUACUACCUUUCAUACAUUGUUAUCACAAAUAGGAGCAGUACAUAUUGGCAGCCAUGUAGCUUUGUAGUUGCUUCGAAUAAUUUUUUCCCUUGUCUGGUGAUUGGUUGGACUUUGAAUACCUCCUAUCCUUAUAGCCAUGGAACAUUUGACAUUGACUCCAUUUACACUUGCAGAAACAAAAACGAACAUAUUUGCAACAAACAUCUAGAGGAGGAAUUGCUUGUUACUGAGUACUCUACUGAACUGUCAAUUUGUUCGUUGUCAGGGGGCUAUAUCGAGUUUGGUUGCCAUAAUAAUGGUUGCCUCGCGAAUUGGAAAUGCUUUACCGAAUUCCAGGAUAUCGCCAAGUGUGCCAUAUUGUCAUAAUCGUUUUCCUCCUUAGGAUGGUUACCAAUGUGCAGUUGAAUUCUAAAAGGUUUUGUUUGAUAUGCUAUAUUUAAAGAACUGAUGUUGGCACCAGCUUGAUGGGAAAAAGUCAUUUCCAAUGUGGGCACGGAAACUUGGAUUUAUUUGGUGAUAGUCAGAUGAUUUUCCUGAAGUUGCAGUUUGAAAUAACCUUUCAAAGCCUAAACUCAUCUUUGUAGAAAGGGACUUGUGAGAAGUAACGUUGGCUCUGUAAAUGUUCUUGGUUUGGGGCAAGACGUUGAAUAAAUUGUGAUGAUUGGAUGGACAACAUGGAAUUCCUACAGAUUUUGUUUGAUAUGCUGUAUUUAAAGAACUGAUGUUGGCACCAGCUUGAUGGGAAAAAGUCAUUUCCAAUGUGGGCACAGGGAAACUUGGAUUUAUUUGGUAAUAGAGUCGGAUGGUUUUCCUGAAGUUGCAGUUUGAAAUAACCUUUCAAAGCCUGAACUCAUCUUCGUAGAAAGGGACUUGUGAGAAGUAACGCUGGCUCUGUAAAUGUUCUUGGUUUGGGGCAAGACGUUGAAUAAAUUGUGAUGAUUGGAUGGACAACACGGAAUUCCUACACUUUAUUCAUAUUCCCCAAACGGUAUUUAAAAUUCAAAAAUUGAAGUGCAUAUCUGGGCUCCCUUCCUUUCCGUAGCCCCGUUUCCCCUUGACUCGUAAUAAGCCCGUAGGGGGUCAUGCCCCUACUGUACGGUAUAUUUAAAAAUAACAUAUACCGAGGUUUGGAGGGCUCUGGCCGGAAAGGGGACGUGGGCUGGCCGCUUAGUCCGAUGAUGUGUUCACGGAGGGCGACGUGGCUACCCACAAAUCCGAACUAAAGGUUAAUCGCUCCAGUAAAAAUGUUCCAUAUCUUCGGCUCUUCUUCCGGCUUCUCUUAGCCAAUCACCGGGUAAUCUCCCCGGUGGGUCAACAAGGCAGUGUCUCCCCCUGCCUGGGUUGACGGCAACUUUUGAAAGGGCUAUUGUGCCUUUUUAAAGUUGCAAAAUUAAU